This 254-nucleotide ribosomal RNA is filed under the name uncultured bacterium. Its description in RNAcentral is "partial 16S ribosomal RNA". It matches the Rfam family "Bacterial small subunit ribosomal RNA", at positions 524 to 776 of the family's 1533-position model. The record is from RNAcentral.
UACGGGGGGAGCAAGCGUUGUUCGGAUUUACUGGGCGUAAAGGGCGCGUAGGCGGUCAGCACAAGUCAGUUGUGAAAUCUCCGGGCUUAACCCGGAAACUGCCAUUGAUACUAUCAGUCUUGAAUACCGUGGAGGUAAGCGGAAUAUGUCAUGUAGCGGUGAAAUGCUUAGAUAUGACAUAGAACACCAAUUGCGAAGGCAGCUUACUACCCGAAUAUUGACACUGAGGCACGAAAGCGUGGGGAUCAAACAGG